CCUCUUCGAUCUGCUGCGGGCAAAUGAAGUGAAUGUGGGAAUCGAUGCCGCCCGCGGUGACGAUCAUCCCCUCGCACGCGAUCACUUCGGUGCCGGGGCCGAUGAUGAUGUCCACCCCCGGCUGCGUAUCCGAAUUGCCCGCCUUGCCGAUGGCCACGAUGCGGUGGUCCUUCAGGCCGAUGUCCGCCUUGAUGAUGCCCCAGUGGUCCAGGAUCACCGCAUUGGUCAGCACCGUGUCCACCGCCCCCUGGUCACGCGUGCGCUGGGACUGGGCCAUGCCGUCCCGGAUGG
Molecule: small RNA, 291 nt
Organism: Roseateles depolymerans
Lineage: Bacteria; Pseudomonadati; Pseudomonadota; Betaproteobacteria; Burkholderiales; Sphaerotilaceae
Rfam family: 5' ureB small RNA
Source: Rfam